UGGGGAAUAUUGCACAAUGGGCGCAAGCCUGAUGCAGCCAUGCCGCGUGUAUGAAGAAGGCCUUCGGGUUGUAAAGUACUUUCAGUCGGGAGGAAGGUGGUAAGGUUAAUAACCUUAUCAAUUGACGUUACCGACAGAAGAAGCACCGGCUAACUCCGUGCCAGCAGCCGCGGUAAUACGGAGGGUGCAAGCGUUAAUCGGAAUUACUGGGCGUAAAGCGCACGCAGGCGGUCUGUCAAGUCGGAUGUGAAAUCCCCGGGCUCAACCUGGGAACUGCAUGCGAAACUGGCAGGCUAGAGUCUUGUAGAGGGGGGUAGAAUUCCAGGUGUAGCGGUGAAAUGCGUAGAGAUCUGGAGGAAUACCGGUGGCGAAGGCGGCCCCCUGGACAAAGACUGACGCUCAGGUGCGAAAGCGUGGGGAGCAAACAGG
Molecule: ribosomal RNA, 429 nt
Filed under: Chloroflexota bacterium
Lineage: Bacteria; Bacillati; Chloroflexota
Description: Chloroflexi bacterium partial 16S ribosomal RNA
Rfam family: Bacterial small subunit ribosomal RNA
Source: RNAcentral